GGCGGAGCCAUCCUGUCCCGCCUCCGUAAAGAGGAAACCAGUGUCAGCCUCAGAGACGACUACAGAGAUGCCGUAGAGGUUGUGGCUGGUCUGUACGAUCAGGUGGACGAGCUGGUUCACAAGCUGGUGAUGCUGUCCAACCAACGCACUCAGGAACUGGACUUUAUCAUGGAGUUCAAGAGUCUGGAGCAGGGAUUCAAGGAGGUGAGUGACUGGAUUGAGGAGGUUGGAGAGAGUCGUCUGAGAACGCUCGGAGAGCUGGAGGAUUCUCUGGAGCAGCUGCACAGGAAACAGACCCUCUUCAGAGACUUCUACACUGCUG
Molecule: long non-coding RNA, 322 nt
Organism: Oncorhynchus nerka (sockeye salmon)
Lineage: Eukaryota; Metazoa; Chordata; Actinopteri; Salmoniformes; Salmonidae
Exons: 3
Source: RefSeq, a predicted model, not a curated record